RNAcentral lists this ribosomal RNA (360 nucleotides) under uncultured bacterium. Its description in RNAcentral is "bacterial SSU rRNA". It matches the Rfam family "Bacterial small subunit ribosomal RNA", at positions 28 to 387 of the family's 1533-position model. The record is from RNAcentral.
GAUGAACGCUAGCGGCAGGCUUAAUACAUGCAAGUCGAGGGGUAACAUGGUAGCAAUACUGAUGACGACCGGCAAACGGGUGCGGAACACGUACAGAACCUUCCUUUAAGCGGGGGAUAGCCCAUAGAAAUGUGGAUUAAUACCCCAUAGUAAUAUUGUCUGGCAUCAGAUGGUAUUUAAAGAUUUAUCACUUAAAGAUGGCUGUGCGGCUGAUUAGGUAGNGGUGCGGGUAACGGCCUACCAUGGCUCCGAUGGGUAGCUGGUUUGAGAGAGCGACCAGCCACACUGGGACUGAGAAACGGCCCAGACUCCUACGGGAGGCAGCAGUGAGGAAUUUUCCGCAAUGGGCGAAAGCCUGAC